Molecule: long non-coding RNA, 1219 nt
Organism: Rosa rugosa (rugosa rose)
Lineage: Eukaryota; Viridiplantae; Streptophyta; Magnoliopsida; Rosales; Rosaceae
Exons: 4
Source: RefSeq, a predicted model, not a curated record
UUUUCAUUUUUAUAGUUGCAUCUUUGUAGGGUUCUCUUUUCAGAACCUGCAACACAACUGAUAUCACACCAAAGAUUGUCAAACCAUUCCUGGAUACUUUCCUCUGUUGCAGAUGUUAAAAAGCUUCACAUCUAAGGCAUUGACAAUUUCCAGCUUGCACAGCAUUAGUUCUGUCACCUAUGGAGCCAGAACUUGAUCAGUGCAGUAUCUCAUGAUCUGAAACUUGAUCUGGCUUCAACAAUCGUUUAGCGCUGUCAUAACUCCGGUUGUACUUUACCUGGGUAGUAUAAGUCAACCAAUUGUAGUAUCAAGCUAUUGGUUGACUUAUACUACACACAUAAAAUUACAAUAAAAAACCGAGCCAUCUAAAUCAGCCAGCAAAAUUUUGGUGCAAUCUUUGAAAUUGGUCUGAAGAAAAAAAUACUGCAAUUGAUUGGCUUAUACUACAUAGAUCGUGGAACAAGCCAUUAUUCCAGAGAAAACAACAGUUGUGGCUCAGUUUCUUCAUUUCAACAGCAGGAACAAGAUAAUCUUUCAUCAUAUCUGUCUACCUAUGUGUAAGAUAUCUGCCCGCAUUUCAUUUCUUAUCAACUGAAACUAGCUUGCUUAACUGAAAUUUGAUAGGAUUAGGCCUUACUGUUGUGUACGUUUGUAAAGCCACAUAAUUAUUUAGCAUAUUGAUUAAGCCCUACUACCUUCCUGUCUUUCAUAAGUUUUCAUUAAAUGGUCUUAUUACUCUCCAUCAUUACCAGAUUACAUAAGCAUCACUGAAUUUUCAUAGGAUUAAGCCUAACUGCCUUAUUAUACAUCUUUCAUAAGUUUUCAUUAAAUGGUGUUAUCACUGUGAUCAUUAGCAGACUGCAUAAAAGAAGUCCAUCAUACUUGCCAAAUAAAUUUUUGAUAUAGAUCAGUAGCAUGUAGAAAAGAGUGGUAGUUCUAAUGGAAAGUUGGCUACCUUAGAUUUAAUUGAUUGACAUUAGAAACUAUGAGUAAAUGUAAAUUUUCAGAAAUUCAUGGUUUCCAUUAUAAACCAAAUACACAUCAUCAGCUUGGAUCCUGAAGAACCAAAAACAAACCACCUCAAAAUUUUGUGUGUUGCUUUCAUAAAAGGUGCGCUUUCUGCUCCAUUGAAUUUGCUUUAAUCUUCCUUUUUUUUUUCUUAACAUUUGAAUUAAAACCAAAACUGAAAACCCAUAUUUGAGCUUUGACAAUAGUUUCA